RNAcentral lists this ribosomal RNA (492 nucleotides) under uncultured bacterium. RNAcentral's name for it is "partial 16S ribosomal RNA". It matches the Rfam family "Bacterial small subunit ribosomal RNA", at positions 29 to 507 of the family's 1533-position model. The record is from RNAcentral.
AGUGAACGCUGGCGGUAGGCCUAACACAUGCAAGUCGAACGGCAGCACAGUAAGAGCUUGCUCUUACGGGUGGCGAGUGGCGGACGGGUGAGGAAUACAUCGGAAUCUACUUUUUCGUGGGGGAUAACGUAGGGAAACUUACGCUAAUACCGCAUACGACCUACGGGUGAAAGCAGGGGAUCUUCGGACCUUGCGCGAUUGAAUGAGCCGAUGUCGGAUUAGCUAGUUGGCGGGGUAAAGGCCCACCAAGGCGACGAUCCGUAGCUGGUCUGAGAGGAUGAUCAGCCACGCUGGAACUGAGACACGGUCCAGACUCCUACGGGAGGCAGCAGUGGGGAAUAUUGGACAAUUGGCGCAAGCCUGAUCCAGCCAUACCGCGUGGGUGAAGAAGGCCUUCGGGUUGUAAAGCCCUUUUGUUGGGAAAGAAAAGCAGCAGGUUAAUACCCCGCUGUUCUGACGGUACCCAAAGAAUAAGCACCGGCUAACUUCGUG